UACACACCGCCCGUCAAGCCAUGAGAGCGGGUUCUGCCAGAAGUAGUUAGCCUAACCGCAAGGAGGGCGAUUACCACGGCAGGGUUCGUGACUGGGGUG
Molecule: ribosomal RNA, 99 nt
Filed under: uncultured bacterium
Lineage: Bacteria
Description: partial 16S ribosomal RNA
Rfam family: Bacterial small subunit ribosomal RNA
Source: RNAcentral